CGAGCGGCAGCGACUUAACUGAACCUUCGGGGAACGUUAAGGGCGGCGAGCGGCGGACGGGUGAGUAAUGCCUGGGAAAUUGCCCUGAUGUGGGGGAUAACCAUUGGAAACGAUGGCUAAUACCGCAUGAUGCCUUCGGGCCAAAGAGGGGGACCUUCGGGCCUCUCGCGUCAGGAUAUGCCCAGGUGGGAUUAGCUAGUUGGUGAGGUAAGGGCUCACCAAGGCGACGAUCCCUAGCUGGUCUGAGAGGAUGAUCAGCCACACUGGAACUGAGACACGGUCCAGACUCCUACGGGAGGCAGCAGUGGGGAAUAUUGCACAAUGGGCGCAAGCCUGAUGCAGCCAUGCCGCGUGUAUGAAGAAGGCCUUCGGGUUGUAAAGUACUUUCAGCAGUGAGGAAGGCGGGUGCGUUAAUAGCGCAUUCGUUUGACGUUAGCUGCAGAAGAAGCACCGGCUAACUCCGUGCCAGCAGCCGCGGUAAUACGGAGGGUGCGAGCGUUAAUCGGAAUUACUGGGCGUAAAGCGCAUGCAGGUGGUUUGUUAAGUCAGAUGUGAAAGCCCGGGGCUCAACCUCGGAAUUGCAUUUGAAACUGGCAGGCUAGAGUACUGUA
RNAcentral lists this ribosomal RNA (611 nucleotides) under Vibrio hepatarius. RNAcentral describes it as "bacterial SSU rRNA". It matches the Rfam family "Bacterial small subunit ribosomal RNA", at positions 63 to 653 of the family's 1533-position model. The record is from RNAcentral. Lineage: Bacteria; Pseudomonadati; Pseudomonadota; Gammaproteobacteria; Vibrionales; Vibrionaceae.